GGAUCUCCCUUAGUAACGGCGAGUGAAGCGGCAGAAGCUCAAAUUUGAAAUCUGGCACCUACGGUGUCCGAGUUGUAAUUUGAAGAGGCAACUUUGGGAGGGUCCCGGUCUAUGUUCCUUGGAACAGGACAUCGCAGAGGGUGAGAAUCCCGUUCUCGGUCGGAUGUGCCCUCCCUUACAAAGUGUCUUCUACGAGUCGAGUUGUUUGGGAAUGCAGCUCAAAAUGGGUGGUAAAUUUCAUCUAAAGCUAAACAUUGGCGAGAGACCGAUAGCGCACAAGUAGAGUGAUCGAAAGAUGAAAAGCACUUUGAAAAUAGAGUCAAAAAGUACGUGAAAUUGUUGAAAGGGAAGCGCUUGAGACCAGACUCAGCGGUAGACAAACAGCUGCCCUUCUGGGUAGUGCACUUGUCUGCCGGUGGGCCAGCAUCGGUUGGGGUGGUGGGAUAAAGGCUAGGGCAAUGUGACUCCUCUGAGGAGUGUUAUAGGCCCGAGUGCAAUGCUGCCCGCCCCGACCGUGGACCGCGCUUCCGCUAGGAUGCUGGCGUAAUGGUCUUCA
Molecule: ribosomal RNA, 556 nt
Filed under: Tuber magnatum (white Piedmont truffle)
Lineage: Eukaryota; Fungi; Ascomycota; Pezizomycetes; Pezizales; Tuberaceae
Description: eukaryotic LSU rRNA
Rfam family: Eukaryotic large subunit ribosomal RNA
Source: RNAcentral